Molecule: non-coding RNA, 385 nt
Organism: Elephantulus edwardii (Cape elephant shrew)
Lineage: Eukaryota; Metazoa; Chordata; Mammalia; Macroscelidea; Macroscelididae
Source: the annotation of a RefSeq genome assembly
AUGCAGAGCCUCUGGUUCUUCCUCUGCCUGCUGGUGGCUCCCCUGGAUGAGUGUGUCCUGUCUGAUCUGACCCUGCAGGAAUCAGGUCCAGGGCUGGUGAGGCCUUCAGAGACAUUGUCCCUCACAUGCACUGUCUCUGGAUAUUCCAUCGCAAGUGGUUACUGCUGGCACUGGAUCCGCCAGCUCCCAGGAAAAAGACUCCCUCCAGUGGUUGUCAACGAUAUGCUCUGGUGGAAACACAUAUUAUGAUCCCUCCCUGAAGAGUCGACUUACCACCACCAGAGACACAUCCUCAAAUAAGUUCUUCCUGCAACUGAGAUCUGUCACCAGCGAGGACACGUCUAUGUAUUUCUGUGCAAAAGACACAGUGAGAGGAAGUCAGUGA